UUGCUUUAUUUUAUUCUGUGAAAAUAAGCCUUAUUAUAAAUCACAAUGAAAUGACUCCAAUAAGGCUCAUGGCUGCCAAGCCCAUUCCUGCAACGCUUGCAGCGAUGAUGACAUCUCUGACCUGCAACAAAGAAGAGGGUGGGUCACACUCUGUGUCAGGAUCCAGAGUACAGGCUGCACAUUCAGCAGAAACAUUCAGCUCGGGAUACCUCACAUGCCCCUUGGCCUCCCUGGCCAAACUAAGGAGUCAACAAACAUUGGUAGGGAAGAGGGGAGGAGAGGGCUGGACGGGAAAAGAAUUCGUGGCUGGAGCCAGCUGGCCUGAAAUUUACAUGGAACCAAAGAUGGAAAACUGGAUUCACCGUGUUGUCUUGUACUCUGUAUUUGGAGUUUAUUGCUGCAUAGGAGCAUGAGUUUUACCAAGACCAUGCCCAGCCUCCGUCAGCAGAGGGAAUGGUCUGGUUCCUGGGGAAGGCGACACAG
Molecule: long non-coding RNA, 483 nt
Filed under: Homo sapiens (human)
Lineage: Eukaryota; Metazoa; Chordata; Mammalia; Primates; Hominidae
Description: HSALNT0363144
Source: RNAcentral